CACUUGGACGCUAGUGGCCCCUGGGAGCCCGAUCUGUAAUGACUACUGCAGAGACUGUAUCUGAGCAGUACUGCCGACAUGACUCCUCCAGUACAGACGGUGGAAGCCGCUGACACAAACAGCUGAUAACAGAGUCCCUUCUCCUGCUUCUCCUCCAUUGUGAUGGACCUCUCCCUGACACACUCCUCCACCCAGAGCCAGCCUAUCUGUGCUCACCUGCCCCGAGCCUGUCCCCUUAUCGGGCCCCUCGCGACAGCCCCGGAGCGCUCUAAGGGGCCAGGGAAGUGCAGACAGCUCGGGAGGGGGGCAGAGGGCAGCAGACAGGACAGUGCAGACAGAAGGGGAGGAUGUGAGUGGUGAUUGUAGAGGUGAAAGGGCCGAUUUAGUCCUGGCGAUUCCCUGUCCUCACUGUAUCCUUCCUGUACUGUCCACCGCUGUGUGCUGUGCUGAGACUGACUCUGAAACUACAGACUGGACUCGAAGAUGUGUGAGAAUGAGAGACAGACUGGAUAAGUGGAAGAGACCAGCGCUGCGGUGAGUGACAGCGGUGAACUGGAGCAGCAGACUGAAGCAGAGGGAGAGGAGAUGAUGAAGAUGGAAGCCCAGAAUCGUGAGCUCCGUGUGGGCAGGAGAAGUGUGUUAUGCCCUGUCAGUCCUUCGUGCCUCCGACUGUCUCUGAGUGGACAAACACACAGGAUUAUGAAGGACGGCUGCUGGAGAGAGGG
Periophthalmus magnuspinnatus is the source of this 725-nucleotide long non-coding RNA. RefSeq lists it as uncharacterized. The transcript has 3 exons. The record is from RefSeq and is a predicted model, not a curated record. Lineage: Eukaryota; Metazoa; Chordata; Actinopteri; Gobiiformes; Gobiidae.